This 492-nucleotide ribosomal RNA is filed under the name uncultured bacterium. RNAcentral describes it as "bacterial SSU rRNA". It matches the Rfam family "Bacterial small subunit ribosomal RNA", at positions 28 to 507 of the family's 1533-position model. The record is from RNAcentral.
GAUGAACGCUAGCGGCAGGCUUAACACAUGCAAGUCGAGGGGCAGCAUGAGACGGAGAUUCGUCAAAGUCUUGAUGGCGACCGGCGCAAGGGUGCGUAACGCGUGAGCAACUUGCCCGUUUCAGGGGGAUAACCGGUGGAAACGCCGACUAAUACCCCAUAGUAUUGAUAUAAGGCAUCUUUAAUCAAUUAAAGAAUUUCGGAAACGGAUAGGCUCGCGUGACAUUAGCUAGAUGGUGAGGUAACGGCUCACCAUGGCUACGAUGUCUAGGGGUUCUGAGAGGAAGGUCCCCCACACUGGAACUGAGACACGGUCCAGACUCCUACGGGAGGCAGCAGUGAGGAAUAUUGGUCAAUGGUCGAGAGACUGAACCAGCCAUGCCGCGUGAAGGUCACGGCCCUAUGGGUCUUAAACUUCUUUUGUAAGGGAGCAAUAAGGUCUACGUGUAGACUGAUGAGAGUACCUUACGAAUAAGCAUCGGCUAACUCCGUG